CUAAGGAAGCUGAUGGAGAAGUAGAGAUCUAAGAGAAGUCACAAAAGCAAGCGGAAGCACACUGAGAAACUUUGUUUAGUUUUGAGGGUAGUACCUCAAAGAGCUAGUACAUUGAAAACUGAAUAUAAUCCAAGUAAAAAACCGAGAAAAUCAAAGAGAACAGAUUGUAAGGCGACCGAGAAGAGAAUUCUUGAGUAA
RNAcentral lists this ribosomal RNA (198 nucleotides) under Lactobacillus acidophilus. Lineage: Bacteria; Bacillati; Bacillota; Bacilli; Lactobacillales; Lactobacillaceae. The record is from RNAcentral.